CUACGGGAAGGCAGCAGUGGGGAAUUUUCCGCAAUGGGCGAAAGCCUGACGGAGCAAUACCGCGUGAGGGAAGACAGCCUACUGGGUUGUAAACCUCUUUUUUCAGGGAGGAAAAAAAUGACGUGUACCUGAAGAAUAAGCAUCGGCUAACUCCGUGCCAGCAGCCGCGGUAAGACGGAGGAUGCAAGUGUUAUCCGGAAUUACUGGGCGUAAAGCGUCUGUAGGUGGUUUAAUAAGUCAACUGUUAAAUCUUGAGGCUUAACUUCAAAACAGCAGUCGAAACUAUUAGACUAGAGUAUAGUAGGGGUAAAGGGAAUUUCCAGUGGAGCGGUGAAAUGCGUAGAUAUUGGAAAGAACACCGAUGGCGAAAGCACUUUACUGGGCUAUUACUAACACUCAGAGACGAAAGCUAGGGUAGCAAAUGGGAUUAGAUACCCCAGUAGUCCUAGCUGUAAACAAUGGAUACUAGAUGUUGAACAGAUCGACCUGUGCAGUAUUAAAGCUAACGCGUUAAGUAUCCCGCCUGGGAAGUAUGCUCGCAAGAGUGAAACUCAAA
This 556-nucleotide ribosomal RNA is filed under the name uncultured bacterium. Its description in RNAcentral is "bacterial SSU rRNA". It matches the Rfam family "Bacterial small subunit ribosomal RNA", at positions 339 to 905 of the family's 1533-position model. The record is from RNAcentral.